Molecule: long non-coding RNA, 159 nt
Organism: Biomphalaria glabrata
Lineage: Eukaryota; Metazoa; Mollusca; Gastropoda; Planorbidae
Exons: 2
Source: RefSeq, a predicted model, not a curated record
CAAAGGAGCCUUGGUAACAGCAAGAUGAUCAAUAUUUGGACCACCUGUGAUAUUUGCUUCAGUCCUUUGCUCAUCAUGAAAAAUAAUGGGAUGUAGCCAAGUUUCUGUUCCUGCAAUUAUGUCUGGUUUCUCACAUUCUAAUAAAAUUUCUAAGUCUGC